UCGGUUUCGGUUCGAGUUUUCAGG
This 24-nucleotide non-coding RNA is filed under the name Arabidopsis thaliana (thale cress). Lineage: Eukaryota; Viridiplantae; Streptophyta; Magnoliopsida; Brassicales; Brassicaceae. The record is from RNAcentral.